RNAcentral lists this long non-coding RNA (1251 nucleotides) under Olea europaea subsp. europaea. The record is from RNAcentral. Lineage: Eukaryota; Viridiplantae; Streptophyta; Magnoliopsida; Lamiales; Oleaceae.
GUUAAUAUUAUUUUUGAUAGGAAUUGACCCGCCGGUUGAACUACAGACUCGUUGACUGACCGCAUUGUCCGGGUCGACAUCCGGGUUGAGUCCGAUAACUAUGUCUCCAGGUGCAUCUAAGGUGUCAAAUAUUAACAAUAAUAUUUGAGCAUCUUCCAAAGUAUUUAUCACUAAAUUUAAAAAGAAAUCUCCCAAAAGCUUACUAUAAUUUAAAAGAGCAAUACAAUAUCUUCAAUAAAACUUCUCUUUUGUUUGUAGCUACAAAAUGAUUGUUAUGUAGCUCAAAUCAGCGACGACUUUUUUGUCAACAUAUUUGAUUGUUCUUUUAUAUUAUUUAUACUUUUGGGUGACUUCUUCCUAAACUUAGUAAUGAUUACAUUGGAAGAGACUCAAACUCUAUAUUUCAACGUGAUUUCACAUUGAGAGGUGAUUCUUUAGCUAACAUUUAUUCUAGUAAGUUGUUUUUUCUCAAUUUAUAAACUUAAAUUUCAAAUUUAUUUACAAACACUUCGCACUACUCUUUUACACAGAAAACUCAUUUUCCUUCUCUCUUCUAGGAAAAACUAAAGAUAUAAAAAUAGAAGAUGGAUCAAAGAUUUGGACAUAUGUUUAAGUGAGACCCAGUAAGAUGAUUUUCUUCAUUUUCGAUUUUUGAAAUAUUAUCAUGUUGGUCUGUUAAAUCCUAUGGACAAGAACAAUGAAAAAAUUAGGCAUGAAUGUGCUUUGCCAAUUUAUUUGAAAAUUUCAUUCCCGGUAAAUUUUAUGUCUCAGGUCUAUCGUAAGAGGCAUUCAACUUUCUGCUUGAUGUUAAAAUACGUGGACUUGAAUUAUUUGGGUACUAAUUUUCUACAAAAUAUUGAAGUCGACAAAUAGUAUGGUAUUAAUGAGGCUCAAAUUUUGCUGUUUUUGUCCAAUCCUUUUAUUAUCAUUAAUGUAAUUAUUUAUAUUGCAUUUCCUAAUGUUCUAACCGUUUAUUAUGCUAAUAAAAGAUCUGUUGACCUUUUGAUAUCGGAAAAUAGUCAUGUACAGUACUUGCAAUAUAUAUCCAAGCUAAGUCAUCCAUGUUCCUUCCAACAAAAUUUGUAAUUUGCUCUGAGGUGAAAGCAAGUUUAAUGCACACUCUAAAAGCAUGUGGGUCCUUGAAUAAUGAAAAUUAUAAUUUUGAUUUUGCAAAGGUAUGAUCUUGUUUCACACUAAAAUAUUAACAAUGAUAUAUGCAGUUUUAUGUAUACUUCACUUUGAUUAUUCAAU